Molecule: ribosomal RNA, 279 nt
Filed under: uncultured bacterium
Lineage: Bacteria
Description: partial 16S ribosomal RNA
Rfam family: Bacterial small subunit ribosomal RNA
Source: RNAcentral
UGCCAGCAGCCGCGGUAAUACGGAGGAUGCAGGCGUUAUCCGGAUUUAUUGGGUUUAAAGGGUGCGUAGGCGGGCAGACAAGUCAGUGGUGAAAUCCUGCGGCUCAACCGUAGAACUGCCAUUGAAACUGUAUGUCUUGAAUAUAUCUGAGGUAGCUGGAAUGCGUAGUGUAGCGGUGAAAUGCAUAGAUAUUACGCAGAACGCCAAUUGCGAAGGCAGGUUACUAAGAUAUUAUUGACGCUGAGGCACGAAAGCGUGGGGAGCGAACAGGAUUAGAUA